This 253-nucleotide ribosomal RNA is filed under the name uncultured bacterium. RNAcentral describes it as "partial 16S ribosomal RNA". It matches the Rfam family "Bacterial small subunit ribosomal RNA", at positions 524 to 776 of the family's 1533-position model. The record is from RNAcentral.
UACGUAGGGUGCGAGCGUUAAUCGGAAUUACUGGGCGUAAAGCGUGCGCAGGCGGUUUUGUAAGGCAGAUGUGAAAUCCCCGGGCUUAACCUGGGAAUGGCAUUUGGGACUGCAAGGCUUGAGUGCGGCAGAGGAGACUGGAAUUCCUGGUGUAGCAGUGAAAUGCGUAGAUAUCAGGAGGAAUACCGAUGGCGAAGGCAGGUCUCUGGGCUGACACUGACGCUCAUGCACGAAAGCGUGGGGAGCAAACAGG